RNAcentral lists this transfer RNA (69 nucleotides) under Rattus norvegicus (Norway rat). It matches the Rfam family "tRNA". Rfam says of the family: Transfer RNA (tRNA) molecules are approximately 80 nucleotides in length. Their secondary structure includes four short double-helical elements and three loops (D, anti-codon, and T loops). Lineage: Eukaryota; Metazoa; Chordata; Mammalia; Rodentia; Muridae. The record is from Rfam by way of RNAcentral.
GAAGACAUGGCUCAGUGCUAAAGAGCACUGCCUUUCCAGAGGUUCUGAGUUCGAUUCCCAGCACCUUCA